CGGACUGCACUGAAAUCGAUCGUUCACCAAUGAAAAAUCUUUGCGUCUAUGGGGAACUUUAAAGGGAUAAAAGAGAACUUACCUCUGGGACAUCUGUUUCGUGCUCUGGAGAAUCCCCCCCGUCAUCACUGGUUUUCCGCUUUCUUUUGUUCCGAACACUUUGGAUGUAAUUUUUGUGAAAGUCACAUAUGUAAAGGUGCCGAACCUGAAGAUAGGGUGAGACGGCUGGAGAUAUAAAUCUGCAGUUACUUCAGUCACACAAGGUUAAUGUCACUAGCUGUCCGAAGAAAUGUAGGGGUGAUUCUCUUUCUACUUUCUGCUUCCUUUUUCUGAUUUUUGAGUGGUAUGUAUAUCUAAAUUGCAUGUUAUUGGUAAAUUUGACCAAAUUAACUUUUUGUGAAUUUUAAAACUAAAUGUUUUUUUCCU
Molecule: long non-coding RNA, 426 nt
Organism: Xenopus laevis (African clawed frog)
Lineage: Eukaryota; Metazoa; Chordata; Amphibia; Anura; Pipidae
Exons: 2
Source: RefSeq, a predicted model, not a curated record